GUGGGGAAUCUUGCGCAAUGGGCGAAAGCCUGACGCAGCCAUGCCGCGUGAAUGAUGAAGGUCUUAGGAUUGUAAAAUUCUUUCACCGGGGACGAUAAUGACGGUACCCGGAGAAGAAGCCCCGGCUAACUUCGUGCCAGCAGCCGCGGUAAUACGAAGGGGGCUAGCGUUGCUCGGAAUUACUGGGCGUAAAGGGCGCGUAGGCGGCCAGUUUAGUCAGAGGUGAAAGCCCAGGGCUCAACCUUGGAAUUGCCUUUGAUACUGGCGGGCUUGAGUACGGGAGAGGUGAGUGGAACUCCGAGUGUAGAGGUGAAAUUCGUAGAUAUUCGGAAGAACACCAGUGGCGAAGGCGACUCACUGGCCCGUUACUGACGCUGAGGCGCGAAAGCGUGGGGAGCAAACAGGAUUAGAAACCCCAGUAGUCC
RNAcentral lists this ribosomal RNA (425 nucleotides) under uncultured bacterium. RNAcentral describes it as "partial 16S ribosomal RNA". It matches the Rfam family "Bacterial small subunit ribosomal RNA", at positions 354 to 796 of the family's 1533-position model. The record is from RNAcentral.